AACGAACGCUGGCGGCAGGCCUAACACAUGCAAGUCGAACGCUGUAGCAAUACAGAGUGGCAGACGGGUGAGUAACGCGUGGGAACCUUCUUUGUGGUACGGAAUAGCUCAGGGAAACUUGAGGUAAUACCGUAUAUUCCCUAUGGGGGAAAGAUUUAUCGCCACAAGAUGGGCCCGCGUUGGAUUAGCCAGUUGGUGAGGUAACGGCUCACCAAGGCGACGAUCCAUAGCUGGUUUGAGAGAAUGACCAGCCACACUGGGACUGAGACACGGCCCAGACUCCUACGGGAGGCAGCAGUGGGGAAUCUUGGACAAUGGGCGCAAGCCUGAUCCAGCCAUGCCGCGUGAGUGAUGAAGGCCUUCGGGUUGUAAAGCUCUUUUGCCGGGGACGAUAAUGACGGUACCCGGAGAAUAAGCCCCGGCUAACUUCGUGCCAGCCGCCGCAGUAA
RNAcentral lists this ribosomal RNA (449 nucleotides) under uncultured bacterium. Its description in RNAcentral is "partial 16S ribosomal RNA". It matches the Rfam family "Bacterial small subunit ribosomal RNA", at positions 29 to 523 of the family's 1533-position model. The record is from RNAcentral.